Molecule: long non-coding RNA, 502 nt
Organism: Cornus florida
Lineage: Eukaryota; Viridiplantae; Streptophyta; Magnoliopsida; Cornales; Cornaceae
Exons: 2
Source: RefSeq, a predicted model, not a curated record
UUGAUGGAAAUUAUUAUGUCAUUUAAAUUGCAAUCAUUAUUACUUUUAUAUGCCUGUGUGGAACUAUGUGAGCUGGCUAAUAAGUCUAAACUCAUUUUACCGUGACAGAUUUUAUGGCUGUUGGGUAUGUGGUUGGUUAUUUAUAUGUAUGUAUGGAACAACGUGAGCUGGCUAAUAAGUUUAGACUCACUUUACCGGGACAGAUUUUAUGGCUGUUGGGCCCUCAUCAGUUUCAUCCGCAAGGCUAAGGUUUUAGUUGUCCGUUGCAUCUACCUUAUCUCUACUCUUACUAUUUACUCCAGGGUAGAAGUUUUAUCCAUUUCGAUAGAUUUGUCUAUUUCAGUUAUGUAGUUGGUUUCGAAUUUAGGAGUCUUCUUUAUGAGAUUCCCAAGUUUUAUUUUGGAACUUUUAUUUUGUUUUGGACGACUGUAAUCCUAUUAUCGCUUAAACUUCUUUUUUGCUUAAUUUAUCCUUUCAGAUUUUUUUACUUGUUUAUUAUCAA